GGNGGGNUGCUAUACAUGCAGUCGAGCGAAUGGAUUAAGAGCUUGCUCUUAUGAAGUUAGCGGCGGACGGGUGAGUAACACGUGGGUAACCUGCCCAUAAGACUGGGAUAACUCCGGGAAACCGGGGCUAAUACCGGAUAACAUUUUGAACCGCAUGGUUCGAAAUUGAAAGGCGGCUUCGGCUGUCACUUAUGGAUGGACCCGCGUCGCAUUAGCUAGUUGGUGAGGUAACGGCUCACCAAGGCAACGAUGCGUAGCCGACCUGAGAGGGUGAUCGGCCACACUGGGACUGAGACACGGCCCAGACUCCUACGGGAGGCAGCAGUAGGGAAUCUUCCGCAAUGGACGAAAGUCUGACGGAGCAACGCCGCGUGAGUGAUGAAGGCUUUCGGGUCGUAAAACUCUGUUGUUAGGGAAGAACAAGUGCUAGUUGAAUAAGCUGGCACCUUGACGGUACCUAACCAGAAAGCCACGGCUAACUACGUGCCAGCAGCCGCGGUAAUACGUAGGUGGCAAGCGUUAUCCGGAAUUAUUGGGCGUAAAGCGCGCGCAGGUGGUUUCUUAAGUCUGAUGUGAAAGCCCACGGCUCAACCGUGGAGGGUCAUUGGAAACUGGGAGACUUGAGUGCAGAAGAGGAAAGUGGAAUUCCAUGUGUAGCGGUGAAAUGCGUAGAGAUAUGGAGGAACACCAGUGGCGAAGGCGACUUUCUGGUCUGUAACUGACACUGAGGCGCGAAAGCGUGGGGAGCAAACAGGAU
Molecule: ribosomal RNA, 757 nt
Filed under: Bacillus cereus
Lineage: Bacteria; Bacillati; Bacillota; Bacilli; Caryophanales; Bacillaceae
Description: bacterial SSU rRNA
Rfam family: Bacterial small subunit ribosomal RNA
Source: RNAcentral